This 497-nucleotide ribosomal RNA is filed under the name uncultured bacterium. RNAcentral's name for it is "partial 16S ribosomal RNA". It matches the Rfam family "Bacterial small subunit ribosomal RNA", at positions 28 to 507 of the family's 1533-position model. The record is from RNAcentral.
GAUGAACGCUGGCGGCGUGCCUAAUACAUGCAAGUCGAGCGAACGGACGAGAAGCUUGCUUCUCUGAUGUUAGCGGCGGACGGGUGAGUAACACGUGGAUAACCUACCUAUAAGACUGGGAUAACUUCGGGAAACCGGAGCUAAUACCGGAUGAUAUUUUGCACCGCAUGGUUCAAAAGUGAAAGACGGUCUUGCUGUCACUUAUCGAUGGAUCCGCGCUGCAUUAGCUAGUUGGUAAGUUCACGGCUUACCAAGGCAACUAUGCAUAGCCGACCUGAGAGGGUGAUCGGCCACACUGGAACUGAGACACGGUCCAGACUACUACGGGAGGCAGCAGUAGGGAAUCUUCCGCAAUGGGCGAAAGCCUGACGGAGCAACGCCGCGUGAGUGAUGAAGGUCUUCGGAUCGUAAAACUCUGUUAUUAGUGAAGAACAGAUGUGUAAGUAACUGUGCAGAUCUUGACGGUACCUAAUCAGAAAGCCACGGCUAACUACGUG